CGGGUUCGGCAGGUCGGGGGUUCGGAGGCGGCGCGGCUGGGAAGUCUACUCGGGGCGGCUUAACAGGUGGGACAUGACUCCCAGGGAUGAGCCUCCCUGGCACCGAGGAAUUACUACCGAGCACUGACUGGUGACACAACUGGAAAAAGACCCUGAAUAAAAGGGGGA
This 168-nucleotide long non-coding RNA is filed under the name Dasypus novemcinctus (nine-banded armadillo). RNAcentral describes it as "lncRNA (ENSDNOG00000049964.1)". Lineage: Eukaryota; Metazoa; Chordata; Mammalia; Cingulata; Dasypodidae. The record is from RNAcentral.